RNAcentral lists this ribosomal RNA (292 nucleotides) under uncultured bacterium. RNAcentral describes it as "partial 16S ribosomal RNA". It matches the Rfam family "Bacterial small subunit ribosomal RNA", at positions 505 to 796 of the family's 1533-position model. The record is from RNAcentral.
GUGUCAGCCGCCGCGGUAAGACAGAGGGUGCGAACGUUGCUCGGAAUUACUGGGCGUAAAGCGCGUGUAGGCGGUCUCGCAAGUCCGGUGUGAAAGCCCGGGGCUCAACCCCGGAAGUGCACUGGAUACUACGGGGCUGGAGUCCUGAAGAGGAGAGCGGAAUUCCCGGUGUAGAGGUGAAAUUCGUAGAUAUCGGGAGGAACACCAGUGGCGAAGGCGGCUCUCUGGACAGGAACUGACGCUGAGACGCGAAAGCGUGGGUAGCAAACAGGAUUAGAUACCCGCGUAGUCC